This 492-nucleotide ribosomal RNA is filed under the name uncultured bacterium. RNAcentral describes it as "partial 16S ribosomal RNA". It matches the Rfam family "Bacterial small subunit ribosomal RNA", at positions 29 to 507 of the family's 1533-position model. The record is from RNAcentral.
AGUGAACGCUGGCGGUAGGCCUAACACAUGCAAGUCGAACGGCAGCACAGUAAGAGCUUGCUCUUACGGGUGGCGAGUGGCGGACGGGUGAGGAAUACAUCGGAAUCUACUUUUUCGUGGGGGAUAACGUAGGGAAACUUACGCUAAUACCGCAUACGACCUACGGGUGAAAGCAGCGGAUCUUCGGACCUUGCGCGAUUGAAUGAGCCGAUGUCGGAUUAGCUAGUUGGCGGGGUAAAGGCCCACCAAGGCGACGAUCCGUAGCUGGUCUGAGAGGAUGAUCAGCCACACUGGAACUGAGACACGGUCCAGACUCCUACGGGAGGCAGCAGUGGGGAAUAUUGGACAAUGGGCGCAAGCCUGAUCCAGCCAUACCGCGUGAGUGAAGAAGGCCUUCGGGUUGUAAAGCCCUUUUGUUGGGAAAGAAAAGCAGCAGGUUAAUACCCCGCUGUUCCGACGGUACCCAAAGAAUAAGCACCGGCUAACUUCGUG